RNAcentral lists this ribosomal RNA (198 nucleotides) under uncultured bacterium. Its description in RNAcentral is "partial 16S ribosomal RNA". It matches the Rfam family "Bacterial small subunit ribosomal RNA", at positions 328 to 539 of the family's 1533-position model. The record is from RNAcentral.
ACGCUCGACACCUACGGGAGGCAGCAGUGGGGAAUAUUGCACAAUGGGGGAAACCCUGAUGCAGCGACGCCGCGUGGAGGAAGAAGGUCUUCGGAUUGUAAACUCCUGUUGUUGGGGAAAAAGAGGAUGGUACCCAACAAGGAAGUGACGGCUAACUACGCGCCAGCAGCCGCGGUAAUCUGAGCGGGCUGGCAAGGC